GCUGGGUGCGGUGGCACAUGCCUGUAAUCCCAGCAGCUCAGGAGGCUGAGGCAGGAGGAUGGCAAGUUCAAGGCCAGGCUCAGCAAUGGUGAGGCGCUAAGCAAAUCAGUGAGACCCUGUCUCUA
RNAcentral lists this small RNA (125 nucleotides) under Marmota monax (woodchuck). Lineage: Eukaryota; Metazoa; Chordata; Mammalia; Rodentia; Sciuridae. The record is from RNAcentral.